This 300-nucleotide unclassified non-coding RNA is filed under the name Hevea brasiliensis (rubber tree). The record is from RNAcentral. Lineage: Eukaryota; Viridiplantae; Streptophyta; Magnoliopsida; Malpighiales; Euphorbiaceae.
GGACACCUAAGAAUGUCAUGCUGAGAAGGUACAGAUUCAUCAUUUAGGCCUCUGAAGAAAAAGUCCAUCUUUAACAGGAAGCAAGUUUGCCUGCUUCAGCGGUGAUAAUCAAGAGGCGAAGAGCAAGAAUUGAAAGGAAAGCGUCUAUAGUGAGAAGCGAAUAAUUGGAGGAAGAGGAAGGAAUCAGAGAACUUAUGAAGAAAACGAGGGAGAGAUGAUAUUUGUUUAUUCAAUUCGGGGGAGGUGACAGUAAACGACGCCGUGCUUAGCACACGCCAAUUGAUGAGUGGUGGGUGUAUU